Epinephelus lanceolatus (giant grouper) is the source of this 1029-nucleotide long non-coding RNA. RefSeq lists it as uncharacterized. NCBI's taxonomy places the organism in Eukaryota, Metazoa, Chordata, Actinopteri, Perciformes, Serranidae. The record is from RefSeq and is a predicted model, not a curated record.
AUAGACUUAGCCAUAGCGGUCGCUGUUUCGGUGUGUUUUUAGACCAUUAAAGUUAAUUGUAAUACUUGGUGGGCUAGAAAGUUUUGUGCAGCGUUUGGUUUUACUAAAAGACCCUCUAAGGAGUCAGAUAUCCGCAACCAAUCGACGCAGCAGUAGACAACUCCUGUGUUCUGCCAUGUAAAAUGACUGUUUUUGUCAGUGGAGUCAGGUGGCUUUGAUAUAAUGGCUUCAGUGAUACGCAGGAAAAAACUGAUGGCAAGAAGAGAACCCAUCUACCCACGGCGUUACUCGCGCAAACCCCUGGGACCACGUCACUGUGGUGAGGCGCGGGUGAACACCACACAGGAUCAGUAUGUACGGGGCUCUGUGUAGAGCAUGCUGUAUAGGGGAGGGAUGUAUGGUGUUAUGUAAGAGGCGAGAGUGGGUGUGGAGUUCAGCUGGAGCAGCUUACAGCCUGACACUGAGUGUCUCUGAGUGCAAACAAUCCCUUCAGCCCGGCCUUGUGUGCUGCUCACACACACUUAAUGCUGUGCUUAUAGGUCAGUGCAACCUUCUGUCAGCACACAAUGUACACAUGCAUAUAGAGUCAAGGUGGGGUUUAAGAUGCUCUGUAUGUGUUUUUUUUUUUUUUUUUUUUUUACUUUGUAUGUUCCUCCAAAGAUCACCUCUGUGAACUGUUUGAAGCCGUGUUAGCAGCACUCUGAGCUUUAAACAUGCUGGUACAAGUAAAAGUCGUGUAUGCAAAACUCUACUUAAGUCAAUAAGUGCUAUCAGUUUUAUUGCAAAGUAGGUUUGCACACCAAGAGAAAUUCUUUGUGUGCAAACCUACUCUGCAAUUAAACUGUUUCUGAUUGUGAUCAGCUAAAUGAACUUAAAGCAUCAAAAGUAAAAGUAUGUACUGGACAGAAUAGCCCUUUUCAGAGUGUUAUAUUGGGAGUUUAAUAUAUAAUAAUGCAUCAUAUUGUUGGUAAAAUUUAUUCUGGAAAGUAUCAGCUGUCAGAUGAAUGUAGAGGAAUAAAAAGUAUAAUA